AAUGAACGCUGGCGGCAGGCCUAACACAUGCAAGUCGAACGGGUGUCUUCGGGCACUAGUGGCGGACGGGUGAGUAACGCGUGGGAACAUACCCAAAGGUACGGAAUAGCCUCGGGAAACUGAGAGUAAUACCGUAUGUGCCCUUCGGGGGAAAGAUUUAUCGCCUUUGGAUUGGCCCGCGUUGGAUUAGGUAGUUGGUGGGGUAAUGGCCUACCAAGCCGACGAUCCAUAGCUGGUUUGAGAGGAUGAUCAGCCACACUGGGACUGAGACACGGCCCAGACUCCUACGGGGAGGCAG
RNAcentral lists this ribosomal RNA (298 nucleotides) under uncultured Pseudomonadota bacterium. RNAcentral describes it as "uncultured proteobacterium partial 16S ribosomal RNA". It matches the Rfam family "Bacterial small subunit ribosomal RNA", at positions 29 to 351 of the family's 1533-position model. Lineage: Bacteria; Pseudomonadati; Pseudomonadota. The record is from RNAcentral.